CUCAGACCUGUAAUUCAAGCACUCAGAAGGCUGAGGCAGGAGGACUGCCAUGAUUUUGAGGCCAUCCUGGGCUAUAGCCUGGAAUAUAUGCUUCUUAUAGAACCUCCUUACCCAGGAGAAACCCUGAGAGAAAGACAGGGGAGCCUUCAGAGGCCAUCAGUGAACUUCCCAGCUCUGUUGCCUGACAGCAAGUAAGUCCUGUGGGUCCUGGGAAGCCCAAGCUACAUGGAAUAUGAGCUGAGUGCAGAAAAGGACACUUGAUGUCCCUGGACAUGUGCUUCGCAUGACUCUGCCUGGGACCCACAAGACAGUGUGGGCUAGGCAAGCCAAAGGUUGGACCUCCAUGAACUAGAGUUUCAUAAAAUACCAAUGCUUGGCGUUUAUCUCCAGAAGUUCUGAUUCAAGUGGACUAGAAUGAGACGCUGGCAUUAUUGUAAGACUCCAACACGGUCCCAACAGACCACCUGGAUUGAGGACGCUUGGAACCAGAAGCUCAAGCGUUGCAGUGAGUGGCACUGGCAGCAGACAACAUCCUCACCCUGAGACUUACUAGGCGUGACGUAAUCACAAGUGUGAUGAUUAGGAGGUCUUUUGUACACCGCCUUUAUCAAAUGAAGGCUGU
Molecule: long non-coding RNA, 622 nt
Organism: Chinchilla lanigera (long-tailed chinchilla)
Lineage: Eukaryota; Metazoa; Chordata; Mammalia; Rodentia; Chinchillidae
Exons: 3
Source: RefSeq, a predicted model, not a curated record